Molecule: ribosomal RNA, 496 nt
Filed under: uncultured bacterium
Lineage: Bacteria
Description: partial 16S ribosomal RNA
Rfam family: Bacterial small subunit ribosomal RNA
Source: RNAcentral
AUGAACGCUGGCGGCGUGCCUAAUCCAUGCAAGUCGAGCGAACGGACGAGAAGCUUGCUUCUCUGAUGUUAGCGGCGGACGGGUGAGUAACACGUGGAUAACCUACCUAUAAGACUGGGAUAACUUCGGGAAACCGGAGCUAAUACCGGAUAAUAUUUUGAACCGCAUGGUUCAAAAGUGAAAGACGGUCUUGCUGUCACUUAUAGAUGGAUCCGCGCUGCAUUAGCUAGUUGGUAAGGUAACGGCUUACCAAGGCAACGAUGCAUAGCCGACCUGAGAGGGUGAUCGGCCACACUGGAACUGAGACACGGUCCAGACUCCUACGGGAGGCAGCAGUAGGGAAUCUUCCGCAAUGGGCGAAAGCCUGACGGAGCAACGCCGCGUGAGUGAUGAAGGUCUUCGGAUCGUAAAACUCUGUUAUUAGGGAAGAACAUAUGUGUAAGUAACUGUGCACAUCUUGACGGUACCUAAUCAGAAAGCCACGGCUAACUGCGUG